Molecule: ribosomal RNA, 450 nt
Filed under: uncultured bacterium
Lineage: Bacteria
Description: partial 16S ribosomal RNA
Rfam family: Bacterial small subunit ribosomal RNA
Source: RNAcentral
GUGGGGAAUCUUCCGCAAUGGACGAAAGUCUGACGGAGCGACGCCGCGUGAGUGAAGAAGGCCUUCGGGUCGUAAAGCUCUGUCAUCAGGGACGAACGGCCGGUGGAGUGGAAAGCCACCGGAUUGACGGUACCUGAGAAGGAAGCCACGGCUAACUACGUGCCAGCAGCCGCGGUAAUACGUAGGUGGCAAGCGUUGUCCGGAAUUAUUGGGCGUAAAGCGCGCGCAGGUGGGAUCUUAAGUCCAUUUUGAAAGUUCGGAGCUCAACUCCGUGAUGGGAUGGAAACUGGGAUUCUUGAGUACCGGAGAGGAAAGCGGAAUGCCCCGUGUAGCGGUGAAAUGCGUAGAUAUGGGGAGGAACACCAGUGGCGAAGGCGGCUCACUGGCUCGAUACUGACGCUGAGGUGCGAAAGCGUGGGGAGCAAACAGGAUUAGAAACCCCGGUAGUCC